AGUCCUUCGCCGUCCCUCGCCGUCCUUCGCCAUCGCACGCCACCGCACCCCAUCUCUCGAAAUCUGCAGACAUCUUGAUUUUUCCCACGCUGUCUGUCAGGUCUCCGCCGCCACUCGACGCCAGGGCGCCGGGCCUUGUGGGCUGUGCUGCACCUCGGACGGCUUCGCACCAGCCAGCGCCCUCUCUCUCCUGCAGCACUCUGAUCUGCACCCCCUGAGGGGCUUCCACUGUCCGCGGGGUGAGAAUGCCCCUGGGUAAGUGCCGCUGCUUCUGCGCACCUUGGGGAAGGACCCUUCUGUGGGACGCAGUAGAGGGGACAGUCAAUGAGCUCAGCCAGUUCUGAGUUCUGAGAACUGUCUGGCAAAGCGGGUGCAGAGCAAAGCGUGACUUAGGAGACGGGCUGCGCUUGGGGUCACAUGCUAGCUAAGUUCCUUCAUUCCCCUGAGGUUGACUUUCUGUAAAGUAGGGAAACUGCAAAGGCUCUCUGAGGGCAGAGGCCUUGGCUGUUUUUCUUGAUUUUGAACCCACGGUGCCUGUCCACGUGUAGAUACUCAGAACUGGUGGGCUGAAUGUACAGCCGAGGCAUUUUUACCAGAAGUCUGUUUUCCUGUGGACUCUGGGUGGGGACAGAUGGAAUCUGCCUGUGAAGUGAUGAUGGCUCUCAGGGUCCUGGGUACCCUUCUCUUCCCUGGGGGGUGAGCCUCCCUCUGGAGAUCUGGCAGCUAACACGCUGACGUGGGCUCACCUGCCCUUUUUUGCACCUGUAUUCGAAAGUGAUCGUGGGCUGCCUGUGCCCUGGUCAUUGAUAGUGCAGGGAGAGAAAUCGCGGAAAGUGCUUCCCCGUGUUUGGAGGGUCCGCUCCUGUCCCUUUCAAACUCUGGAGCUUUCUCACACCUCCUUCUCACCAUCUUUCAAAUGCCUCCUGGCACUUGGUGUCUUAUUAGUGAGUGCUCCCUGUGCAAGGCUCAGUGCAGGGUUCCAUGAGGCGUUCACCAGGGUCUAUGAGGGGUGAGUCCCUGCCUCAGGAUUGGUGGUGAAACCACAGCUGCAGCCCCCACUAGUCACACCCUGUGGCAAUUACUGGCUUGAUUGUCUUUGCCUCUCUCUAUUGUGACCUUGAGGACAGUGUCUUGAGUUUUGUUUAAUAUUUUAUUGUAUUUUUUUAGAGACAGGAUCUCACUCUGUUGUCCAGGCUGAGGUGCAGUGUGCAGUGGCGUGAUCAUAGCUUGAACUCCUGUACUCAAGUGAUCCUCGCACCUCAGCCUCCCAAAUAGCUGGGACAGACAGGGUCUCGCUAUGUUGCCCAGGCUGGUCCUGAACUCCUGGCUUCAAGUGAUUUUCCCUCAGUCUUCCAAAGUGCUGGAAUUACAGGUGUGAGCCACUUCGCCUGUCUCAGUAUCUGAGUCCUGUCUCUUGACUUACCUGGUGCUUGGUAGAUGGUUGAUUUUCAGCAGUUAUGGAACAAAUGAAAAACAGGAGAUGGGCCGGGUGCAAUGGCUCACACCUGUAAUCCCAGCACUCUGAGAGGCCAAGGAGUGUGGAUCACUUGAGGCCAGGAGUUCAAGACCAUCCUGGCCAACAUGGUGAAACCCCAUCUCUACUAAAAAAUACAAAAAUUACCUAGGUGUGGUGGCACACGCCUAUAAUUCCAGCUACUCAGGAGGCUGAGGCACACCAGAAUCGCUUGAACCUGGGAGGUGGAGGUUGCAGUGAGCCAAGAUCAUGCCCCUGCACUCCAGCCUAGGCGACAGAGUGAGACUAUGUCCCUAACAAAAAACAAAAAACAGGAGCUGGAAAAAGACAACUGUGGCUGGUCGUGGUGGCUCACACCUGUAAUCCUAGCACUUUGGGAGACUGAGGUGGGUGGAUCGCUUGAGCCCAGGAGUUUAAGACCAACCUGGGCAAUAUGGCAAAAACCUGUCUACAACACACACACACUAGCCAGGUGUGGUGGCAUGCGCCAGGAGGUGGAGGUUGCAGUGAGCCGAGAUUGUGCUACUGCAUUCCAGCCUGGGCUGCAGAGCCAGACCUUGUCUUUAAACAACAACAACAAAAAAGACUUCAGUUGUAAGGUGACAGGGCUUAGCACAUUGAUGCAUGUCAGGGAAGUAGUUUUGAGCAAGGCAGCCUGUGUGGGGGUGGUCAGAGCUAUUUCCCACUGGCCCAGUGGUCAUCCCAUGGUGUUCUCUUUGACGGUCUUGUCCGUGGGCCACCAGGAUUAAUUUCCCCACAGGAUUGUCAUUGUGAUGUCAGCGACCAAAGCCAGAGGUAUAGCUAGGCAUGGCUGAUAGAAGAGUGAGAUGUGUAAUCAGCCCUGACCCGCAGAUGACAGAUGGGCCAUCCUGCCCAUCAUAGCCCUUACUGUGUAUGCUAGACUGCGCCACGCUGGUGUGCCACACCAGAACCUGUCCUAGGUUCAGAGUCCCCUUCAGUGUACUGCUUCAGGAUCACAAAUUCAACAAUAUGUGCAUAAGAUGAGACUUAAGCUGUCCCUGAUGACUGGUUCUUCUCUAGAUGAACUCUUCGUGUUGCUGAGACCGUAGACCACUGUUAACACUAGCCAACUUUUAGGAAAUGUUUACCACCUGGUGGCUUCUGUGCCAGUACUCUCCUUGUCCUUUCCAGAACGGGUUUGACCAGGUGAUGUCUAGAUAGCUCAUCCAGGGCUUCUUGAUUCUGGCAGAGGAGGCUGAUUGGUGCAGAGAGGCCCAUGAGAGGUAUCUCCACCCUGCCAGGAAGCAGGUGGACCAUGGUGUUCUAUGAGGUCUGUCCUCUGGAGAUCUGGGGCUUUGUGUCCCACAAGGGUGGGUGCAUGCAGGUUCCCUGGGCGUGAUGUCUGGGAAGUAGAGAGAGGUGAGGUAAGAGUGUCUUUGUGCUGGCCCCAGUUUUACCCUCUUUGGGGCCAUCAUGAAUACAUUGGGUUCCUCUUGUGCCUGCUUGGGUUUAGCAUCUUUAGGGAUCCCUUAUCAUUGUUGUGUCUUGGAAUAUCUGACUCAAAAGCUGGAGGGCUUUGGCAUCAAACCUACCUGUACCUUGGUCCCAAACGCUUUACCACUACUCCCUAGCUUUGGUUCUUUUUGUGAUCUUCAGUUUUCUCGUCUGGAAAACAGGAGUACGCUGAGGUGAUUUUUCUUAGGAUCACACCGUCCCUAUCUUCCACGUCCGAAGAAGUCUGCCAGCUUUCUCAUCUGGAGGGUCUUUCCUUUACUUCUCCUGGUUGGGGCAGGUUCCGUUUAUGUGGGACAAGAUGGAAGCUGCUUCAUCCUGUGCUCUGCUGUGCCACUGUCCUGGCUCAGGCCAUUUUUCAGGCUUCUGACGUUGGUCUCCAAUUUCAACAAGCCCUGGAUCUCUUUCUGCCCCUGUGUGCAAAGUGAUUACAGGCUGCUUGUGUCUUGGUUAUUGGUAAUAAAGGAAAAGUUACAAGGUUUUCCUCUUGUGUAGAGGCACCAUUGUCCAUUUCAGACGGGAUGACCUCAGGGGACUGUGUCAGUGACCAGGAUGGGCUAGACAAGCUGUCAGUACAUUCACCUCCUGAGACACUGAUUCCCCUGGUGUGUUUUCUGUGGGUGAAUAUCGUGGUUUCCUGGACUUGCCAUAAGCAGUGCCAAGUGCAUCAGUCACAUCUUGGCUUCUUGUGCCCUGCAGGAGUGUCACAUGACUGCCGCCCCAUGUGUGUGAGAGGCGUCCUCUGGGAGAGCAUGGAUCCUGAGGUCCCAGGUAAGUGGGGUCCUGCUCAGUCCUCUAGAGCUCAAGUUCUCUGCAGGUUGUGAGGCCAGAGGUGGUUGGGUGCUGAGGAGUGGGGAGUGAGGACACCGGUGAAGGCUGCUUCCCUUUGCUCCUGUCUUUGCUCCUUCAGCAGGCAGGGACAGGCCUGGGCCCUCUUCUGCCUUCGUGGGGCUGCUGCCAAGAAGGUGCUCCCUGAGCUUGAUUGGGGCUCUGAGAGUCCCUGACAAAGACCCUGUCAUGUUGAGAGGAAAACCAUGUGUUGGAAUGGACAGAGGGGCUGCGUUUCAGAUUCAAGCCUGGAUUCAUACCCAGUGCCCGGCUGAGCAGUCUUAUGUAAGCCUCAGUGGAACAGAUAGCCAAUAUUGAUACCCUCCAGCCCAGUCUGUUAUUUAUUUAUUUAUUUAUUUUUUGAGACAGAGUCUUGCUCUGUCGCCCAGGCUAGAGUGCAAUGGCAUGAUCUCAGCUCACUGCAACCUCUGCCUCCCGGGUUCAAGUGAUUCUCCCUGCCUCAGUCUCCUGAGUAGCUGGGAUUACAGGUGCCCGCCACCAUGUCCAGCUAAUUUUUUCUAUUUUUAGUAGAGAUGGUGUUGGCCAGGCUGAUCGCGAACUCCUGACCUCUGGCAAUCCACCCGCCUUGGCCUCCCAAAGUGCUGUGAUUACAGGUGUGAGCCACUGUGCCCGGCCUAUUUUUUUAUUUUUAUUUUUAUUUUCUUUUGAGACGGAGUCUCUGUUGCCCAGGCUGGAGUGCAAUGGCGUGAUCCUGACUCACUGCAACCUCCACUUCCCGGGUUCAAAUGAUUCUCCUGCCUCAUCCUCCCGAGUAGCUGGGAUUACAGGUGCCUGCCACCAUGCCUGGCUAAUGUUUUUUUGUAUCUUUAGUAGAGAUGGGGUUUCACCAUGUUGGACAGGCUGGUCUCAAGCUCCUGACCUCAGAUGAUCCACCUGCCUCAGCCUCCCAAAGUGCUGGGAUUACAGGCGUGAGCCACUGCACCCGGCCAGCCCAGUCUUUGAGAAGAGCCCCAGGAUUCUCAAUAUUUCUGCCCAUGUUUGCCUUCCUUUCUGCUUCUGGCAGGGAGUGGUAAGUGAUCUCUGGGAGUCAGAAGCAGCAUCUGUAAUCUUAGGCUGUAAGUCUGCUCAUUGCCCUGUCAGCUGUUCUGUUCCAGGUGAGACCAUUGCCCGGAAUGCCAGCAUUGGCCUCCUUUCUGGGCUUGCCCUCUGCCCUUUCUGCCCCUGCAUUCGAAAGUGAUCAUGAGCUGCCCGUGCCCUGGUCAUUGGUAGUGCAGGGAGAGGAACUGCCGAGAGCACUUCCCCGUGUUUGGAGGGUCCACUCCUGUCUCUUCCAAACCCUGGAGCUUUCCCACACCUCCUCCCUCCCACCACGUCUUAGAUGGCUCCUGGUGCCUGGCAUCAUCUAGUGGGUUGUGUUGCUCUUCUCCCUGGCCCAGGGCAGUUAUUGUGAGACAUGAGGGAAGGGUGUGGGGUGAUGGGUUUGGCCUCAUGGAGCAGAAGGGCUGGGUGUGGAGCUGAGAUAGGGCUGCCCUGCUCCUUCCUCCCGGAAGCUUUCUCUGCCUCCACACCUCUCCUUCCACGUCCUUAUCCAGCCCCUGCACCAAGCUGAACCUGUGGAAAUUGUUGCCUGACUUGUUUCCUGGCUCUCUUUGCUGUGGUCUCAAGGGCAGUGUCUGAAUUUUGUUCCCUACUUUGUUAUGUCUGCCAGAUGGUCAGUAUUCUGACAGUGUGGGACAAAGGAAAAACGGCAGCCUGGGCAACCCCGCCUCUAUAAGAACUAAAAAAUUAGCCAGGCAUGGCGGUGCAUGCCCCUGUAGUCCUAGCUUCUCAGGAGGCUGAGGCAGGAGGCUCUCUUGAGCCCGGGAGGACAAGGCUGCAGUGAGCCAUGACCAUGCCACUGCACUCAGCCUGGGCAACAGAGUGAGACCCUGUCUCAAGAAAGAAAAACGAGAAAGGGAGAGUCCCUCCACUGUAAGGAGAUCGGGUUCAUUACAUUUUGGGGUGUUGGAGAAAAAUACUGAGUCAGCACCUGUGUGGGAUUGGUGGGAGCAGAUUUGGUGUUUUCCACCCCUUCACAGGAUUCUGAGGUAACUCAUUUCUGUUGGCCUUGGCCUUGUAUGGGGAGGAUUUCCCUCCAGCCUUGUAUGGGGAGGAUUUCCCUUGUAUGGGGAGGAUUUUCCCUCCAGCUUGUGGGAAAGGAAUCAAGGACCAGAGACAGGCAGGGGAGAAGAUCACUGAGGGAUUUACGGCAGCAGCCUCUGCACGGCUUCCCCACGACCUCCCCAGCUGCUUGCUGGACGCUGCUGGAGAAACAGCACAUCCCAAGAUCAUCAUGGCCCCAGCAUCCUCUUGAACUUAGUAACAGUUGGCCUGACAGAUGAAGCGGAUAUCAUCCCUGCCUUAGAAGUUCUCUAGCCCCUUUCUUAGAGAUAAGCUGCUAUUUCAUUCCUAAAAGAAGUCAUGGCUGUUCAGGUGAGAAGAACGGUUUAGUCAGCAUCUAUGCAACACUGUAGAGAUGCUUAGUGAGAGGUGUUGCAGGAGAGUGGCAGACCGCAGGGCCCGAGGUAAGGUUUCUUGUCCAUCUCUGGAAUUUUGGCUUUUUGCACCCUGUAAAGUCACGUCCCCUUUUUUUCUGGUGCUUUGGUGGUGACGUAGGGAGAGGUGAGGAUGAGAAGAGGAGCCAUGUCCUAUGGAUUCCCAGAUCCAGACUCCUCUUCCCUGGGAAAGCUGGAUUGGAGCUGGCCCCUCCUUCUGUGCCUUCAGGGGCUGUGGAGGAGGAGGCCCCUGCAGGGAGCUGCCUGGGGCGAGCGCUGGGGGCUUUUCCUGCAGUGCAUUAGCAGCAUGUCAUAAUGGAAAGUGGCUGGAUUUCUUUCCAGUUGUAAUCAAUGGUUAAGAUUUAACCUAGCAACAUUGUAGGGGUACACAGCCAAAUGAUUCAGGAAAAAAGAUGCAGGUUGAGUCUGGAGGAAUCCCUGUGCCAGCUUCCUCAUGCUCCCUCCCUCUCUCAGAAAUCACAUGGAACCCAUUCUCCCCUCAGCAGUGAAAAUGCAUUCAGCCUGUGUGCAGUGUUUCUGCCCAGGGAAGCCCAGUAGGGCCUCCAUGCCCGGGGUGUUUACUGGGAUCUGGUUAUGUAGACACCACCUGCCUAGCACGCACCAAAAUUCCAGACUUUCAGGAAAACAGGUGCCUGUGCCACAUUAUUUGCACGGAGAGACUGUGUCCAGUGAACGGUUCUGAUCAGUAAACUGUUGACUAGGAACAUCCCGAGAGCCAAGUUCCCAGAUGCCAGCCAAGGGCCAUCUGACCUGUUUUGAAUCUCAAUUUCCUGAUACAGAAAACAAAGGUAGGGCAUAAUUGAUUUUUACAGACGUGACCCCAUGAUCCUGCUCUCUAGUCCCCAGAUUUUUCCAGGGCUUUUGUCAGAGGUGUUUCCCCUUUGAUUCCCCUUGGUGGUUAGGUUUUAUGGGAUUUUACAGGACAGAUGGCAGCUGCAGGAGUCUUGUACUGUCCCUGACUUGGGUCAUCCCACAGGCCCUGGCACCAUCCUCCUGCCCUUCCUGGCUCUCCUGUCUGUUUCUGCUCCUGCAUCCGAAAGUGAUCAUAGGCUGCCUGUGCCUAGGUCAUUGAUAGUGCAGGGAGAGGAACGCUGAAAGAGGUUGUCCCCGUGUUUGGAGGGUCCACCCUAUCCCAUCCGAACCCUGAAGCUUUCACACAACUCCUGUUGCUCUCCUGCCAGCCCUUGAGGAGUCCGGCGCUUGCUUGGCUGCCACAUGAAAGUCAGUGCGGGGGGGCAUCAUGCUUAAGUCUUUCUCAGCUUGACCUCUCUUUGCAGAAACCAGGCUCUGUGUUCUGAGGGGUAGAUCAGGAAGGGAAUGUGAUAUGUAAUGAGUCAUGGUGUGUCGCAGUGGAUAGCACAGUUUCGAAUAAGUGCAAUAUUGGCAUAUAAACAUGAGGGAGACUUUGAGGUUGGGGUGAGCAGGGCUGACCCCGUGUGUGUGUGUGUGUGUGUGUGUGUGUGUGUGUGUGUAUGUGUAACUUGGGGACAGGAUAGGGUAGCAUCUUUACAUCUUUACAUGUCAUUGGCCUGGAAUAGGGGGUCCUGAAGGGUUUGUCGUAAGAAAGAGAAAGUGCUCAUUGCUGCAAGGGGAGCACAGCCGGGUUCUGAGAGGCAAAACACUUCCCUCACUUCCCACCCAAGAGUUUCGCCUGUUCUCUCGACCCUCUGAGGUGUGCAUUGGUGUCACUCACUGGCCACCAUUCCAGCUCUUAAUUCCUCUGCCUUUUGUGCUGGCCUUUGGGGCUCCCCUGAGGAUGACUGGUUCUCAGGUUGCCCCUGGAGGAAUGGGUGGAGUUGUAAGAUCAGGAAUAAAGCUAGAGAGGGAGGACCAAGGGGAAGUCACUGAUGCAGCCGCCGUCUAGCCCAUCCCACCCCGAUUGAGAGGUCGCUUUUUCCUGUUGAACAUGUUGGAUAGUGGAAUGUGUUAUAAGAAGUGAUAUGUGUGGCUUCUUGUCAUUGCAGGAUUGUCAGCUGACCUCUGUCCUGUGUGCCCAGUGGCCCCAGGUGACGUGUCUUCAAGAAGAGGCUGAGCUGCGGUGCUUGUAAGGGUCUCAUUCUGUCACCCAGGCUGGAGUGCAGUGGUGCAAUGAUGGCUCACUGCAGCCUCGACCUGGGCUCAAGUGAUCCUCCACCUCAGCUUCCUGAGUAGCUGGGACCACAGGUACGUGCUGCUGCACCCAGCUAAUUUUUAGAAAUUUUUUGUAGAGGCGGAGUCUCACCAUGUUGCUUGGGCUCGUUUUGAAUUCCUGGGCUCAAGCAAUCCUUCCACCUUGGCUUCCCAAAGUGCUGGGAUUAUGGAUAGUAAGUCCAGGCCUGGCCGACGUGUGGAUAGUAUCACACAAUCCCUGACUUCCUAAUCCAGUGAAUUCUCAACAUUUCACCCAGAGUUGAUCUUCCAUCUCAUUCUCUUAUGAGGGAAGCAUUUGAGUAGUGGUUCUCAAACUGUGGUCCCAGAACCAGGUACCAUCAGUAUUACUUGGGAACUUGUAAGAAGUGCAAGUUCUUAGCCCUGUCCCAACCUACUACAUCAGAAGUUUUGGAUCUGGAGCCAGCAAUCUGGCUUAACAUGGUCUCCAGGUGAUUCGUAUUCAUGCUAAAGUUUGGGAAAUCAAACCAUGUUAGAAAUCUUUGGGAAUCAGAAGCAGCUGCUGCAAUUCUAGGCUGCAAAUCUGGUCACUGACUUGUUUCCAGGUCUCUUAGUUUGGGCCCUUCCUAAGCUGCUGUCAGUGCCUCCCCUCUCAACUCACUCACUGCCCUAUUUUGUCCCUGUAUUCGAAAGUGAUCGUGGGCUGCCUUUGCCCUGGUCAUUGAUAGUGCAGGGAGAGGAAUCAAUGAAAGCGCUUCCCCGUGUUUGAAGGGUCCACUCCUAUCCCUUCCAAACUCUGGAGCUUUCGUACAUGCCUUUAUUCUCACCAGUGAUGUUACCUCCUGGUACCUGGUUGUCGUGCCAGACCCCUGUUUACCUCAUUAGGGAUGGCACCAGGUUCAACAGGCCGGAGAAGAGACCUGGAGCCAGUGAAGGAAACAGGGUUUAUCUGGGGAACUUGAGGGCAGUCAGCAGUCUAGUGGUGGGGGGCUGGAUGGGGGCACCUCAUCCACUUGUAAAAUGCAUGCAGAUUAUAUAGCACCUUCCCCCAGUAACCUCCACAUGGCAACCCUCAUUUCCUAAGAAGCUAUUGUUACAUGCAUCUACCAUACACUGGUGCUGUAUGGUUCAUUGAGUGUCCCUUGUGCCUAGCAUGGGACUCAGAGGCUCCUGUCAAAGGACAGUGAAGCAGGGACCUGCCACACUGAGUUUAUGUCUCUGAGCUAGUUUUGGAGCCACAGUAGUGGUUACCCCUUCCUAGAGCUCCCCCCAGAAGCUCUCUCUGCCUCCCCAUCACACUCCUUCCCACCUCUCAGCACUGGUCACACUGUCUGGGAAUUGUUGGUUUGCUUCUCCUGCCCACUGUGCUGUGAGCUUCCUCAGGGCAGUGCCUCUGUCUUGUUUCACAUGGUGCCUGGUAACUGACAUGUAGCACCUGGACAAACAGUAAAUGAGAAGACACAUUGUUGUAAGGUGACAAGGCUUAUCCCAUUGAGCAGUGCUGGGGUUAAAAAUGUCCUAGAACAAGCCAGCUGUUACAGUCCACCUUCAGUCCUGGCUGUGAGGAGCGUCCAUGGUCUACCAGAGGUGGAUUUUCCUUCUGGCCUUAGAUUAAGGUGGCAAGGGCUAGAGUAGUAAUCGGGGGAGACAAUAUGCUAUAGGUAUAGUCAGAUGUAUGAAUGCAGCUCUUACACACUAGAUGGUAGGUGCGGGGCUCUCCCACCCCACCUGUUCAUUACCCAUCCCAGGUCUGUGCUGAUCACUGCCAGGCAUGGCCUGCUCCAAAAGCCUUCUUGCCUUGGCAUCCUUUUUUUCUUUUUUUUUUAAUUUUUUUUUUUUUGAGACCCAGUCUUGCUCUGUUGCCCAGGCUGGAGUGCAGUGGUGCAAACACGGCUCACUGCAGCCUCUGCCUCCUGGGUUCAGUGAUUCUCAUGCCUCAGCCUCCGAGUAGCUGGGAUUAAAGAUGUGCAUCACCACGCCCAGCUAAUUUUUGUAUUUUUAGUAGAGAUGGGGUUUCACCAUGUUGGCCAGGCUGGUCUCGAAGUCCUGGCCUUAUGUGAUACAAAUAAUUGGGACAGCCUCCCAAAGUGCUGGGAUUACAAGCGUGAGCCACCACACCCAACCUGUUUUUAAAAUGUUUAUUGUCUAUAUUUGAGUUUACAACAUGAUGUUAUAGAAUAAUGGGACAGAUAUAGAUAGCACAGUGGUUACUAUGGUGAAGCCGAUGAGCAUGUCUGUUAUCUCACAUAGUCACCGUUUUUAGUGUGUGUGAGGAGCAGCUGAAACCUGCUUCACAGAAAUCCCUUAUGUUGUGCGUGAGCCCUCUAGACUUACUCAUCCUGUAUAUCUGCUACUUGGUGUCCUUUGGCCUACAUCUCCCUAUUUCCUUCAGCUCCUGCCCAUGGUAAUUACCAUUUUAUUCUCUAUCUUUGUAUGCUUGACCUUUUUUUUUUUUUUUUAACAUUGCACACAUAAGUGAGAUAUGCACUGUUUGUCUGUGUCUAGCUUAUUUCAUUUAACAUAAUAUCCUCCAGGUCCAUCCAUGUUGUGGCAAAUGACAGGAUCUUUCUCUAUCUUUUUCUUUUUUUUGGUUGAGACAGGGUCUCCCUCUGUCACCCAGGCUGA
This 11004-nucleotide long non-coding RNA is filed under the name Homo sapiens (human). Its description in RNAcentral is "HSALNT0400876". The stretch from base 9058 to 9191 matches the Rfam family "Small nucleolar RNA SNORA71". The record is from RNAcentral. Lineage: Eukaryota; Metazoa; Chordata; Mammalia; Primates; Hominidae.